Molecule: long non-coding RNA, 2362 nt
Organism: Homo sapiens (human)
Lineage: Eukaryota; Metazoa; Chordata; Mammalia; Primates; Hominidae
Gene: GALNT13-AS1
Product: GALNT13 antisense RNA 1
Source: Ensembl
AGACGAAAGCACAGUUCUGAGCAUGAGAGCUCACAUUCUGUUUCUACCAGGUGCUGAAGAAAAGCAAGACAGGUGGUUAAGACUGAAGAGUUGAUCCUGCGCUGUGCUGUGGAGUGGGCAGCUUCUCUCCAUCUUCUCUCACCCUGACACACUGUCUUAGGAUUCCAGUCUCAGAAGCCAGUCUUGAGGCUGAAGUGCAGUGGUGUGAUCCUGGCUCACUGCAGCCUCUGCCUCCCAGGUUCAAGCAAUUCUCUCACAUCAGCCUCCCAAGUAGUUGGAAUUACAGGAACAUAAGCUCCAGGAAAGCCACAGACUAUGGCCACCUACAUCUUGAAGCUCCGUGCCUGCCCUUGGGAGACACUAAAUGGAGUCUUGCUCUGUCGUCAGGCUGGAGUGCACUGGCGUAAUCUGGGCUUACUGCAACCUCCGCCUCCCGGAUUCAAGCGAUUCUCCUGCCUCAGCCUCCCGAGUGGCUGGGACUACAGGCAUGCGCCACCAUGCCGGCCUAAUGUUUUGUAUUUUAGUAGAGACGGGGUUUCACUAUGUUGGCCAGGAUGGUCUCAAUCUCCCGACCUCAUGAUCCACCUGCCUCGGCCUCCCAAAGUGCUGGGAUUACAGGUGUGAGCCGCCAUGCCCAGCCUCAUGAGGGUUAUUAAGCACAUAAUUAUAGAAUGUGUUUUCUUCUUUUAACUACGAUAAGCAUUGUUCAGUAUUCUGUGGGUUUUUCUUUCUCCUUGCAAUGUCAACAGAAUACAUAAUGAGAAAGGUCAUGUCAGGGUCUUUUUGUUUCUCAAAGAUAUCUGAUGAAAUCUGAGGAAGUCAGCUUUACAAAUAACAUAAACUCUGGAGCUCCGUAAGCUGAACGAGUUAGUCUUGGAAGAGUUGCCUCUGCAGCAUUGCUACUCAGAACUUCUAUGAAAACCACAAGAAGUGGUGAGAGGAAGCGGCAAAAUCAAUGACAGAACACAAAUACCCUCUUCUGCCAACCGCUUAAAAGGAAAUUAUGGGGGGCUGGGUCGGUGGUUCGGUGGCUCACGCCUGUAAUCCCAACACUUUGGGAGGCUAAGGCGAGAGGAUUGCUUGAGCCCAGGAGUUUGAGACCAGCCAGGGAAACAUACAGAGAUGUCAGCUCUACAAACGAUAAUAAAAAGAAAAUUAUCCAAGCAUGGUGGUACACGCCUGUUGUCCCCACUACUUGGGAGGCUGAGUGGGAGAGGCUGAGGUUGGCAGAUUGCUUGAGCCAUGAUCACACCACUGCACUCAGUCUGGGUGACAGAGCAAGACCCAGUCUCAAAACAACAACAACAACAACAACAAAACCCAGAAAAUUCUUCACAAAGGUUAUACAUUUUCUCAAUAAUAUACAAAUUUGAGAAAUGUGAAGUACAUUUAAUUGAAUUAUGUAAAAUAUAACACAGACUUCAUAUAUUCAAUUCACAAAUAAAUUUUCUAGGUUCUUUACUUUUUCAUGUUCAUAUGUUUUUUAUGAAGAACAUAUGGUCACCUAAGAAGAAUAAAAUAAAAACCCAUCAAACAGAAAUAUUCAUAUCCUCCCCAAACCGUAUUAUCUUAAACACAAUUACAAACUUAUUUAAUUACACAAGUGAGAAUCUUAAGCUGAGAGAAGAAAAUUUCUAGAGAAAUUUCUUUUGUUCAUUAUAGGAUUAUUUCAAUACUGAAGGAUAGUCUUCGACAUUAGAAUUGCUUCCUUUUAAAGUGUACAAAUGCCAGUGUAAAAGGAAACAUCAUAACAUCCAUUUCAGCCUUAAUUUUCUAAUGGCUCAGGCCGUUUUUAUACAGUGUAUUCUUCUCCAGUGUCUUAAGAUAGUUUGGAAACAGUACCUGUUGAACCUUUCAGAGAGCAGUCUACCAUAUAUCCCUUGAUCCUCAAUUUCUAAUUUAGAUUCAUUUGUGGUUGUUACAGUUAUAAGUAACGUACAUUUAAGAAAGAUAUAUCUGUAGAACAGUUUCUGCACUUAUAUGUGUAUAUAAAUUAUAUGUCUGCUAAAUUUUUUUUGGCCUUUGUACUUGAAAAAAAAUUAACAGAUGUUAAAAUAUUUGGCUCACAAGCAAUGUUAAAAACAAUCUGUAGAUAAUGCUUCCUUAUUUUUCUUGGAUUAAUGUAAAAUCAGGAUUAAUUUGCUUUGUGUACCUGGGAAAUAAUCUCGUUUGUAUGCUUGUUUCUAGGAUGUCUUUUACUCUUCAUAAUAAUAAAAAAGUCAGUGCAUGUCAGUAUAUACAUAUCCUUCUUGAUUUUAUCUGGAAAUUAUUAGGUUUGAUCUCAAUUAUUUAUCAUUUAUAUCCAUUAGCUUUUUAACCCAUAAUUGUCAUUAUUAAAAUUUUUUUCAUGUUUACUACUGUG